AAAUAACUAAAAACACACACAGAGAUAUUAAUGUCUAAACCACUGCAGCACACUAGAGGUCAGCGCUGUGACGUCACUCAGAGUUCCGUGGAAAGAACGUCGGUCCCCCGCAGCCAUGACAACAGAACGGAACGCGCGAUGACAUCACAGCCUGUGCGGUGUGUAAUAUGAGGUCAUCAGGAGGAGGAGAUCAGACGCGUUUAGAGAGCAGAGGAGAGAUCGUGGUUUCUUGAGUUUCUUGAGCAGUAGCUUUUUAUCAGAACCGAGUUUUUUGAGUUAUCUAGAACCUUUUAACAAACUUUACAUCCGGUUCCUUUAAAAGAAGUGCGUUCAAAAGCAGACCGGAGCAUGGACGGCAUACUCUCCCGACUGAGGUUCUUCUCCUCCAGGAGCGAGAGCAGAAACCUGGAGAGAUGGAGGCGAGAGGAGAGGUGGAGAGAGGAGGAGAAACUCCAGCAGAUCCACAGAGAGAUCAAAGAGGCGGAGAGGAGGAUGAAGAAGAUGCAGAGGAAGAUAGACGAGAAGAAGAAGGAGGAGAAUAGGAUGAACCUUCAGGUAAAGAAGAGAAGGAGAAAACAGGGGCGGGGCAUGCCGAUGGAGGAGGAGGAGCUUCACCUGAAGGAGCAGAGAGAGGGGGAGGAGCUUCUUCAGCUCAGGAAGCUGAUGGAGGAGCUUCACCUGAGGGAGCAGAGAGAGAAGGAGGAGCUUCUUCGGCUCAGAAAGCUGAUGGAGGAGGAGCUUCACCUGAAGGAGCAGAGAAAGAGGGAGGAGCUUCAACUGAAGAAGCAGAGAAAGAGGGAGGAGCUUUGGCUGGGCUCUAAAAAGGGGGUUCAGGUCCAGCAGAAAUACGUAAGAGACCCUGAGGAGAAGCUGGCAGUGCCCGGUACCCCCUCCACCCGCCUGGCAGAACCCAACGAGCAGCAGAACCAGGCGUUCGACCGAGUGAAAGCCGCCUACCGCGCCUACAUGGAGGCUCUGACACCAGAACCGCUGGAGAACACCAGGAGAACCCUGGACUCCAUCGAGCUGAAGCUGAAGGAGAUCCAGAUCCAGAUCUCUGGGGGACUUGUCCCCGAUCUUGGACCUGUCCCUGUCCCUGGACCUGUCUCUGUCCCUGGACCCGUUGAGCUGACGGUGAGGAAAGAACAGAUCCAGAACACUAAGGAAAGAAAAGAGAAGAGAAAGGCUGUGAGCGCUCGGCCAGAGAAAGAGAAAGAGAGGGAUGAUCUGAGGAGAGAGAUAGAGGAUCUCUGGACCAGAGCGACACACGAGAAAGAAGAAACAAGGGAUAAAGUAGAAGAAGAGAAAGAGAAGGCGAAGCUCGAAGAGCUAGAGGACUCGUUCCACAAGAUGGAACGAGAGAUGGAGAGACUGAGAAAAGAAAUGAAAGAGAAAGAGACGUCUCUACAAGAAGAGCUGGAGAGAAAGAGAGAGCGCGAAAGAGAAGAGACAGAGAGAAAGAGAGAGCGCGAAAGAGAAGAGACGGAGAGAAAGAGAGAGCGCGAAAGAGAAGACAUGGAGAGAAAGAGAGAGCUCGAAAGAGAAGAGAUGGAGAGAAAGAUAGCGGAGAGAGAGAGACAGCUGCAGGAGGAGCUGCAGAAGCGCCGGAGAGAGAUAGAGAUGGAGAGAGAGAGACAGAAAGAGGUGGAGAGAGAGAGACAGGAAAGACAGAGGCAGGCUGAGGAGAGACUAAGAGAGAUGGAGAGAAUGAUGAAAGAGGAGGAGGAAAAGAUCCUAAAAAUAGAGGAGGAGCAAUGGAAGGAGCAGCGCUUGGAGAUGGAGAGAAGGAAGGAGGAAGAAUUGCGAGCGGCGGAGGAGAGGCUCCAGGAGAUGGAGAGAUGGAUGAAAGAGGAGAUGGAGAGAGAGGAGGAGAAACUGAGAGAAAAGGAAAAACAGAUGGAGGAAAUGAUGAAGAGUGAGCAGCAGGAGAAAGAAAGGAGAGAACGAGAGAGGGUGGAGAAACUGGAGCGAGAGAUGGAGGAGAGGAGAAAAGAGAUGGAGCGAGAGAUGAUGAAAAAGAUGGAGGAGGAGGAGAGAUUGGAGCGAGAGAUGGAGGAGAGGAGAAAAGAGAUGGAGCAAGAGAUAAAAAAGAUGGAGGAGGAGGAGGAAUUGAAACGAGAGAUGGAGAAAACAGAAAGGAGAAAAGAGAUGGAGAGAGAGAGGAUGAUGAAAAAGAUGGAGGAGGAGAGAUUGGAGCGAGAGAUGGAGGAGAGGAGAAAAGAGACGGAGCGAGAGAUGAAAAAGAUGGAGGAGGAGGAAUUGAAACGAGAGAUGGAGAAAAGAGAGAGGAGAAAAGAGAUGGAGCGAGAGAGGAUGAUGAAAAAGAUGGAGGAGGAAGAGGAGGAGAAACUGAGGCGAGAGAUGGAGGCGAGGAGAAAAGAGAUGGAGAGAAGGAUGGAGGAAACCAUUAAGAUGGAGGAGAUGAAGGCGACAGUAGAAAGAGAAGAAGAAGAUGCUGAUGAAGAAAUGGAGGUACAGACAGAGGAGAAAGAGGAGUCUGAGCAGAAGGAAAUUGAUGGAGUGAUGGAUGUGGUGGAGGAGGUGAAGAAAGAGAGGAUGGAGAGAGAGAAGGAGGUGGAGAAGCUCCAGGAAGCGAGGGUGGAGCACAUGAUGAAAGAGAAGCAGAGGAAGAAGGAGCGAAUGAGGAAGAUGUUUGCUCCGGAUGGACUCAUCUUCCGCCCGCAGAACGAUGGCGGUCGCUGUGGCGCCCAAAAGAAGCGGGAGAACCUCCUAAAGACCUCGUCAUCCACCGACGAAGAGGAGGAGAAGAAGGAUGAGGAGAAGAAAGAGGUACAGCAGCAGGAGCCUGAGAAACCUCCACCUUCCUACUGGCCCGUUUCCACCAACGGAAAACCGGUGGUCAUCACGGUCCAGCCCCUUCACCCUGUUCCUGAAGAGGACAUCAGCUCCACCUUGGAGGAGCCUGUUCUCCUAGAACAACCAGAAGAACCACCCGAAGAAUCACCUAGGCAACCGUCUCUAAGCGGAUCAGGGCUACCAUCGUCCCAACCCAGCGAUCUGGAACCUGCUCCUUCUGAUGCUGGAGAUGAUCCUUACCUGACGAAGGAGAGGAAAGGUGUGGUGAACUGGCUCAACAAGAAGCUCCAGGAUCGCCACGAGCGACUGAUGGAGAAAAGCAUCAAAAAGGAGAAGAAGUACGGCCACAGACUUCGCCUACACCCAACUCCCACUGAUAACAGGUUCCUCCCCGUCUCCGAGAUCGAGCAGAUGAAGAGGGAGGAGAUGCAGAAGAGCGAGAGGAGGAGGCAGGCCCUGGUGAAUAAGUGGAACAUGUGGGAGGAUAAAAGAAAGGAGAGGAAAGCAGAGAAGAAAGAAAAGAAGGAGGAGAAGAAGAAGCUGAAGGAGGAGGAGAGGAGGAGUCCUGAGAAUAUAGAGAAAAGGAGGAAGGCGAUGGAGGCCACGGGGAAUAUGUGUCCCCGUACAAGUAGACCUGAGGCCGGACUCUGAGAGGGGGGUGGAUUCAGACCAGAAGCAAGACCAGUGACCUCAGCAUCUUCUCAAGAACACAAGAUCAUCUCUAUUUCUGUAAAUACUCGUAUAUUGUAAAUAAAAUCUGACAAAAAUCAAUCCGAGGUGUAAA
This 3601-nucleotide long non-coding RNA is filed under the name Astyanax mexicanus (Mexican tetra). RNAcentral describes it as "lncRNA (ENSAMXG00005012891.1)". The record is from RNAcentral. Lineage: Eukaryota; Metazoa; Chordata; Actinopteri; Characiformes; Acestrorhamphidae.